This is a long non-coding RNA of Octopus sinensis (East Asian common octopus), 96 nucleotides long. RefSeq lists it as uncharacterized. The record is from RefSeq and is a predicted model, not a curated record. Lineage: Eukaryota; Metazoa; Mollusca; Cephalopoda; Octopoda; Octopodidae. The transcript is spliced from 3 exons.
CAUCCAGUGCAGACGAUAUACAACAUUUGAUAAAACUUUUCAUAAUAAUCUGGGGAUCAAGUUCAUUCCAUGCAUGCACGAUCUAUUUGCUUGUCA